Molecule: ribosomal RNA, 492 nt
Filed under: uncultured bacterium
Lineage: Bacteria
Description: partial 16S ribosomal RNA
Rfam family: Bacterial small subunit ribosomal RNA
Source: RNAcentral
GAUGAACGCUAGCUACAGGCUUAACACAUGCAAGUCGAGGGGAAACGGCAUCGAAAGCUUGCUUUUGAUGGGCGUCGACCGGCGCACGGGUGAGUAACGCGUAUCCAACCUGCCCAUCACUUGGGAAUAACCUUGCGAAAGUAAGACUAAUGCCCAAUGACAUCCCACGAAGGCAUCCGAAUGGGAUUAAAGAUUUAUCGGUGAUGGAUGGGGAUGCGUCUGAUUAGCUUGUUGGCGGGGUGACGGCCCACCAAGGCAACGAUCAGUAGGGGUUCUGAGAGGAAGGUCCCCCACAUUGGAACUGAGACACGGUCCAAACUCCUACGGGAGGUAGCAGUGAGGAAUAUUGGUCAAUGGGCGAGAGCCUGAACCAGCCAAGUAGCGUGCAGGAUGACGGCCCUAUGGGUUGUAAACUGCUUUUAUAAGGGAAUAAAGUGGGUCACGUGUGACUUUUUGCAUGUACCUUAUGAAUAAGGACCGGCUAAUUCCGUG